Molecule: long non-coding RNA, 404 nt
Filed under: Heterocephalus glaber (naked mole-rat)
Lineage: Eukaryota; Metazoa; Chordata; Mammalia; Rodentia; Bathyergidae
Description: lncRNA (ENSHGLG00000048194.1)
Source: RNAcentral
AUUUCCGGUGUGUCUCACCUUCAUUUGAGUUGAGGAUGUUUGCUGGAGGGGAAAGAGGCAGCCAAAACCAACUGUGAGCAAGUACUUUUGAAGACAAAUUCCCAGGCAUAUUCUCGACUCAGCUAUAGUUGAAGGUCAUUUUCUUCAAUUCCUGAAAGAAAUGUAUUAGCUGCGUUCAUCCUUGGAAGCUGUUUCCAAUCAGAGAAGAGAUAUUUUGAUGGUUUCUGGAGACAGUCUAUUCAUCUAAAAGCUGAGGCCCAUCAGUAGUAUGUAAAACAACACAAUAGUAUCAGUAAGUAGGAUGUAUUCAACACAAUAAUAUGCAUUUUUCAAGUUUUUGCAUGGGCUUACAAAGUAUAGUUUGCUCAUUAUAAAUAGUUCUUAAUGCUUCAUCUCCACCUCAG